CAAUAGCGUAUAUUUAAGUUGUUGCAGUUAAAAAGCUCGUAGUUGGAUUUCGGAUGGGACUUGCCGGUCCGUCGUUUCGAUGUGCACUGGCCAGUCCUAUCUUGUUGUCGGGGACUAGCUCCUGGGCUUCACUGUCCGGGACUAGGAGCUGACGAGGUUACUUUGAGUAAAUUAGAGUGUUCAAAGCAAGCCUACGCUCUGAAUACAUUAGCAUGGAAUAACACGAUAGGACUCUGGCUUAUCUUGUUGGUCUGUGAGACCAGAGUAAUGAUUAAGAGGGACAGUCGGGGACAUUCGUAUUUCAUCGUCAGAGGUGAAAUUCUUGGAUUUAUGAAAGACGAACUUCUGCGAAAGCAUUUGUCAAGGAUGUUUUCAUUA
RNAcentral lists this ribosomal RNA (378 nucleotides) under uncultured eukaryote. RNAcentral describes it as "partial 18S ribosomal RNA". It matches the Rfam family "Eukaryotic small subunit ribosomal RNA", at positions 592 to 975 of the family's 1831-position model. The record is from RNAcentral.